AUGAGUAGCGAAAGAAGGGUGAGAAUCCCUUCCACCGAAUAUCUAAGGUUUCCUGAGGAAGGCUCGUCCGCUCAGGGUUAGUCGGGACCUAAGCCGAGGCCGAUAGGCGUAGGCGAUGGACAACAGGGAGAGAUUCCUGUACCAGUGCUAAUUGUUUAACCGAUGGGGUGACACAGAAGGAUAGGGAAUCGCACGAAUGGAAAUGUGCGUCCAAGCAGUGAGUGUGAGAAGUAGGCAAAUCCGCUUCUCGCGAAG
RNAcentral lists this ribosomal RNA (255 nucleotides) under Listeria monocytogenes. RNAcentral describes it as "partial 23S ribosomal RNA". It matches the Rfam family "Bacterial large subunit ribosomal RNA", at positions 1302 to 1556 of the family's 2925-position model. Lineage: Bacteria; Bacillati; Bacillota; Bacilli; Caryophanales; Listeriaceae. The record is from RNAcentral.